GGGGUCGUAACUCAGUUGGUAGAGUGUCUGAUUGAAGAUCUGAUUGUCGCUGGUUCGAGUCCAGCCGUCCCCA
Molecule: transfer RNA, 73 nt
Filed under: Erwinia phage FBB1
Lineage: Duplodnaviria; Heunggongvirae; Uroviricota; Caudoviricetes; Pantevenvirales; Straboviridae
Rfam family: tRNA
About the family: Transfer RNA (tRNA) molecules are approximately 80 nucleotides in length. Their secondary structure includes four short double-helical elements and three loops (D, anti-codon, and T loops).
Source: Rfam by way of RNAcentral